Molecule: long non-coding RNA, 593 nt
Organism: Acomys russatus (golden spiny mouse)
Lineage: Eukaryota; Metazoa; Chordata; Mammalia; Rodentia; Muridae
Exons: 3
Source: RefSeq, a predicted model, not a curated record
UCCGGUGACCGAGUCCACAGUUACCAUGUGUCUCAGGAACAGAGAGACCAAUCAAAACCACCUCCAGGUCAGUGGAUGGACCCUGCCUCAUCCUAAGCCAUAAGGUUGCCUUGUUAGGGUCACAGCUACAACUGGCUCAGAGAACCCUAUGGAAAAGGAGGUGAAAAGACUGUAAGAGCCAGUGAGGGUGGACGGCACCAAGGAAGCAAGACCUUCUAGACACAACAGGACUGAUGCACAGAUGAACUCACAGAGACUGUGGCAGCACGUACAGGACCUGCACAGGUCCAAGCCAGAUGGGGUCCCAGUGCUGAGAGGGGAAGUGGACACAACCCUAUAUUCAUAACCCAGCAGCUAUUUCCAACUGACAACCUCUCUCAAUGCAAAAACGAGUUUUCUCCAAUGGAGUCUCACUGGACAUAUAAGCCACCCUUAAGAGCAGGCUCCAUGGACCAGAUGACCAACGCAAUAUGAACUCAAUGGCACUUUUGGAGGGCUUUGCGACUCACAAUGCUUUGUCUGCAUAACUUUUUUACCCUGUAGAUAUUUUGCUUGUAUAUUAUGGCUUCUGAUGAAUUUUCUCUGGGAGUGAA